AAAACUUUACAAUGCGGGAAAGAAAUAUAAGGGGACACCGAGUGAGAGCAUCAUAAUUUGGCUGUUCAGGCGUGUAAAAUACACGUGUUAGCAAGGGCCGGGCAAGACCGGUGCCAGCCGCCGCGGUAACACCGGCGGCCCGAGUGGUGAUCGUGAUUAUUGGGUUUAAAGGGUCCGUAGCCGGUUUGGUCAGUCUUCCGGGAAAUCCAUCAGCUCAACCGUUAGGCUUUCGGGGGAUACUGCCAGACUUGGAACCGGGAGAGGUAAGAGGUACUACAGGGGUAGGAGUGAAAUCCUGUAAUCCCUGGGGGACCACCUGUGGCGAAGGCGUCUCACCAGAACGGGUUCGACAGUGAGGGACGAAAGCUGGGGGAACAAACCGGAUUAGAUACCCGGGUAGUCCCAGCCGUAAACGAUGCUCGUUAGGUGU
Molecule: ribosomal RNA, 430 nt
Filed under: uncultured archaeon
Lineage: Archaea
Description: bacterial SSU rRNA
Rfam family: Archaeal small subunit ribosomal RNA
Source: RNAcentral